RNAcentral lists this ribosomal RNA (1380 nucleotides) under uncultured bacterium. RNAcentral's name for it is "bacterial SSU rRNA". It matches the Rfam family "Bacterial small subunit ribosomal RNA", at positions 18 to 1394 of the family's 1533-position model. The record is from RNAcentral.
CCUGGCUCAGGAUGAACGCUAGCGACAGGCUUAACACAUGCAAGUCGAGGGGCAGCGGGGUGUAGCAAUACACCGCCGGCGACCGGCGCACGGGUGAGUAACGCGUAUGCAACUUGCCUAUCAGAGGGGGAUAACCCGGCGAAAGUCGGACUAAUACCGCAUGAAGCAGGGGUCCCGCAUGGGGAUAUUUGCUAAAGAUUCAUCGCUGAUAGAUAGGCAUGCGUUCCAUUAGGCAGUUGGCGGGGUAACGGCCCACCAAACCGACGAUGGAUAGGGGUUCUGAGAGGAAGGUCCCCCACAUUGGUACUGAGACACGGACCAAACUCCUACGGGAGGCAGCAGUGAGGAAUAUUGGUCAAUGGGCGUAAGCCUGAACCAGCCAAGUCGCGUGAGGGAUGAAGGUUCUAUGGAUCGUAAACCUCUUUUAUAAGGGAAUAAAGUGCGGGACGUGUCCCGUUUUGUAUGUACCUUAUGAAUAAGGAUCGGCUAACUCCGUGCCAGCAGCCGCGGUAAUACGGAGGAUCCGAGCGUUAUCCGGAUUUAUUGGGUUUAAAGGGUGCGUAGGCGGCCUUUUAAGUCAGCGGUGAAAGUCUGUGGCUCAACCAUAGAAUUGCCGUUGAAACUGGGGGGCUUGAGUAUGUUUGAGGCAGGCGGAAUGCGUGGUGUAGCGGUGAAAUGCUUAGAUAUCACGCAGAACCCCGAUUGCGAAGGCAGCCUGCCAAGCCAUGACUGACGCUGAUGCACGAAAGCGUGGGGAUCAAACAGGAUUAGAUACCCUGGUAGUCCACGCAGUAAACGAUGAUCACUAGCUGUUUGCGAUACAGUGUAAGCGGCACAGCGAAAGCGUUAAGUGAUCCACCUGGGGAGUACGCCGGCAACGGUGAAACUCAAAGGAAUUGACGGGGGCCCGCACAAGCGGAGGAACAUGUGGUUUAAUUCGAUGAUACGCGAGGAACCUUACCCGGGUUUGAACGCAUUCGGACCGAGGUGGAAACACCUUUUCUAGCAAUAGCCGUUUGCGAGGUGCUGCAUGGUUGUCGUCAGCUCGUGCCGUGAGGUGUCGGCUUAAGUGCCAUAACGAGCGCAACCCUUGCCACUAGUUACUAACAGGUAAAGCUGAGGACUCUGGUGGGACUGCCAGCGUAAGCUGCGAGGAAGGCGGGGAUGACGUCAAAUCAGCACGGCCCUUACAUCCGGGGCGACACACGUGUUACAAUGGCGUGGACAAAGGGAAGCCACCUGGCGACAGGGAGCGAAUCCCCAAACCACGUCUCAGUUCGGAUCGGAGUCUGCAACCCGACUCCGUGAAGCUGGAUUCGCUAGUAAUCGCGCAUCAGCCAUGGCGCGGUGAAUACGUUCCCGGGCCUUGUACACACCGCC